RNAcentral lists this long non-coding RNA (232 nucleotides) under Nicotiana benthamiana. RNAcentral's name for it is "long non-coding RNA (NBEN_LNC001015)". The record is from RNAcentral. Lineage: Eukaryota; Viridiplantae; Streptophyta; Magnoliopsida; Solanales; Solanaceae.
AACCGUUAAGCCAAACCGUUAGAGUAAAAAGCCGCCCAAUCCGCCCAAUGAACACCCCUACCCCUGGCCCCUUUGCUAAAAUAUAUCUUACGUCACAUUUUUGAGCAUUUGUUCAAUUCUUAAAAUCACUGGAUCCCUUACUGCAAUAUCCUUAUUUGUCGCAUUCAAUUGUAAGUAAGAUAUAUGGACUUAUAUCUACAUACAUAUGAACAAUAUAUGGAUAAAUUAUAUG